Molecule: transfer RNA, 75 nt
Filed under: Sphaerodactylus townsendi
Lineage: Eukaryota; Metazoa; Chordata; Lepidosauria; Squamata; Sphaerodactylidae
Description: tRNA-Thr
Source: RNAcentral
GGUUUAUGGCUCAGUGCUAGAGCAUAUGCUUGGUUGGUGCCCAAAAGGCCACAGGUUCAAUCCCUGGCAUCUCCA